GACGAACGCUGGCGGCGUGCUUAACACAUGCAAGUCGAACGGAAAGGCCCUGCUUUUGUGGGGUGCUCGAGUGGCGAACGGGUGAGUAACACGUGAGUAACCUGCCCUUGACUUUGGGAUAACUUCAGGAAACUGGGGCUAAUACCGGAUAGGAGCUCCUGCUGCAUGGUGGGGGUUGGAAAGUUUCGGCGGUUGGGGAUGGACUCGCGGCUUAUCAGCUUGUUGGUGGGGUAGUGGCUUACCAAGGCUUUGACGGGUAGCCGGCCUGAGAGGGUGACCGGCCACAUUGGGACUGAGAUACGGCCCAGACUCCUACGGGAGGCAGCAGUGGGGAAUAUUGCAAAAUGGGCGGAAGCCUGAUGCAGCAACGCCGCGUGCGGGAUGACGGCCUUCGGGUUGUAAACCGCUUUCGCCUGUGACGAAGCGUGAGUGACGGUAAUGGGUAAAGAAGAACCGGCUAACUACGUG
RNAcentral lists this ribosomal RNA (468 nucleotides) under uncultured bacterium. RNAcentral describes it as "partial 16S ribosomal RNA". It matches the Rfam family "Bacterial small subunit ribosomal RNA", at positions 28 to 507 of the family's 1533-position model. The record is from RNAcentral.